ACUCAAAGGAAUUGACGGGGGCCCGCACAAGCAGUGGAUUAUGUGGUUUAAUUCGAAGCAACGCGAAGAACCUUACCAGGUCUUGACAUCGUACGCAUAGUAUGGAAACAUAUGAAACCCUACGGGGCGUAUAGACAGGUGGUGCAUGGUUGUCGUCAGCUCGUGUCGUGAGAUGUUGGGUUAAGUCCCGCAACGAGCGCAACCCCUAUUAUUAGUUGCUACGCAAGAGCACUCUAAUGAGACUGCCGUUGACAAAACGGAGGAAGGUGGGGAUGACGUCAAAUCAUCAUGCCCUUUAUGACCUGGGCUACACACGUAAUACAAUGGCACUUUAACAGAGGGCGGCAACACCGCGAGGUGAAGCGAAACCCGAAAAAGUGUCUCAGUUCGGAUUGCAGGCUGCAACUCGCCUGCAUGAAGUCGGAAUUGCUAGUAAUCGCGGAUCAUCAUGCCGCGGUGAAUACGUUCCCGGGCCUUGUACACACCGCCCGU
This 492-nucleotide ribosomal RNA is filed under the name uncultured bacterium. RNAcentral's name for it is "bacterial SSU rRNA". It matches the Rfam family "Bacterial small subunit ribosomal RNA", at positions 899 to 1397 of the family's 1533-position model. The record is from RNAcentral.